RNAcentral lists this ribosomal RNA (302 nucleotides) under uncultured bacterium. RNAcentral's name for it is "partial 16S ribosomal RNA". It matches the Rfam family "Bacterial small subunit ribosomal RNA", at positions 508 to 807 of the family's 1533-position model. The record is from RNAcentral.
GCAGUAGCCACGGGAAUACGGAGGAUCCAAGCGUUAUCCGGAAUCAUUGGGUUUAAAGGGUCCGUAGGCGGUCUUGUAAGUCAGUGGUGAAAGCCCAUCGCUCAACGGUGGAACGGCCAUUGAUACUGCAGGACUUGAAUUAUUGGGAAGUAACUAGAAUAUGUAGUGUAGCGGUGAAAUGCUUAGAGAUUACAUGGAAUACCAAUUGCGAAGGCAGGUUACUACCAAUUGAUUGACGCUGAUGGACGAAAGCGUGGGUAGCGAACAGGAUUAGAUACCCGAGUAGUCCCUGUCUCUUAUAC